UAUACUCUCCUCUUGUGAGACUACCCCCUGAAUUUAAACAUAUUAAUAAAGGGAGGAAAAAAAACUAUAUAUGAUUCCCCUAUAAGAGGGGAGAGAAAAGGGAAAAGACCACC
RNAcentral lists this ribosomal RNA (113 nucleotides) under Simulium metatarsale. RNAcentral's name for it is "partial 28S ribosomal RNA". It matches the Rfam family "Eukaryotic large subunit ribosomal RNA", at positions 1 to 113 of the family's 3401-position model. Lineage: Eukaryota; Metazoa; Arthropoda; Insecta; Diptera; Simuliidae. The record is from RNAcentral.